Molecule: ribosomal RNA, 497 nt
Filed under: uncultured bacterium
Lineage: Bacteria
Description: partial 16S ribosomal RNA
Rfam family: Bacterial small subunit ribosomal RNA
Source: RNAcentral
GAUGAACGCUGGCGGCGUGCCUAAUACAUGCAAGUCGAGCGAACAGACGAGGAGCUUGCUCCUCUGACGUUUUCGGCGGACGGGUGAGUAACACGUGGAUAACCUACCUUUACGACUGGGAUAACUUCGGGAAACCGGCUCUAAUACCGUAUAAUAUAUUGAACCGCAUUGUUCAAUAAUGAAAGACGGUUUUUCUGUUACUUAUUGAUGGUUCCUCGCCUCAUUUGCUUGUUGGUAAGGUAACGGCUUACCAAGACAACGAUGCGUAGCCGACCUGAGAGGGGGAUCGGCAACACUGGAACUGAGAAACGGUCAAGACUCCUAGGGAAGGAAGAAGAAGGGAAUCUUGGGAAAGGGGCGAAAGCCGGACGGGGAAACGCGGGGGGAGUGAGGAAGGUCUUCGGAUCGAAAAACUCUGUGAAUAAGGAAGAAGAAAUGGGGAAGUAAAAAUGCACGUCGUGACGGUACCUAAUCAGAAAGCCACGGCUAACUACGUG